AGCAGCCGCGGUAAUUCCAGCUCCAAUAGCGUAUAUUAAAGUUGUUGCAGUUAAAAAGCUCGUAGCUGAAUUUCGGGAUCAGUUCGCUGGUCGUGCCUUCGGUAUGUACUGGUGUUACUGGUUCCUACCUUCUGACGAAUCGUCAUGUCAUUAAUUUGGUGUGGCGGGGAAUCAGGACUGUUACUUUGAAAAAUUAGAGUGUUUAAAGCAGGCUCGCGCUUGAAUACAUUAGCAUGGAAUAAUGAAAUAGGACGUUCGAUCCUAUUUUGUUGGUUUCUAGGAUUGACGUAAUGAUUAAUAGGGAUAGUUGGGGGCAUUAGUAUUCAAUUGUCAGAGGUGAAAUUCUUGGAUUUAUUGAAGACUAACUACUGCGAAAGCAUUUGCCAAGGAUGUUUUCAUUAAUCAAGAACGAAAGUUAGGGGAUCGAAGACGAUCAGAUACCGUCGUAGU
Molecule: ribosomal RNA, 450 nt
Filed under: uncultured Glomeromycotina
Lineage: Eukaryota; Fungi; Glomeromycota
Description: SSU rRNA
Rfam family: Eukaryotic small subunit ribosomal RNA
Source: RNAcentral